CCUACGGGUGGCAGCAGUGGGGAAUUUUGGACAAUGGGCGCAAGCCUGAUCCAGCCAUUCCGCGUGCAGGACGAAGGCCCUCGGGUUGUAAACUGCUUUUGUACGGAACGAAAAGCCUUGGGCUAAUACCCCGAGGUCAUGACGGUACCGUAAGAAUAAGCACCGGCUAACUACGUGCCAGCAGCCGCGGUAAUACGUAGGGUGCAAGCGUUAAUCGGAAUUACUGGGCGUAAAGCGUGCGCAGGCGGUCUUGUAAGACAGAGGUGAAAUCCCCGGGCUCAACCUGGGAACUGCCUUUGUGACUGCAAGGCUGGAGUGCGGCAGAGGGGGAUGGAAUUCCGCGUGUAGCAGUGAAAUGCGUAGAUAUGCGGAGGAACACCGAUGGCGAAGGCAAUCCCCUGGGCCUGCACUGACGCUCAUGCACGAAAGCGUGGGGAGCAAACAGGAUUAGAUACCCUUGUAGUC
This 465-nucleotide ribosomal RNA is filed under the name uncultured bacterium. Its description in RNAcentral is "bacterial SSU rRNA". It matches the Rfam family "Bacterial small subunit ribosomal RNA", at positions 338 to 795 of the family's 1533-position model. The record is from RNAcentral.